Molecule: non-coding RNA, 1646 nt
Organism: Aegilops tauschii subsp. strangulata
Lineage: Eukaryota; Viridiplantae; Streptophyta; Magnoliopsida; Poales; Poaceae
Source: RefSeq, a predicted model, not a curated record
UGAUUGGUGGACGAUGGGAGACGUAGCUGCCCACCCCGCACGAAACGACUUUUCCUCCCCACUCACAUCUCCUCCCUCUCUCCCUCGCUUGCACGGGCACACACAGGCAACCGCUCGAGCCUCGAGGAGAGCAGCAGCGACUCGAUGCGGCCGCCGGAGGAGCAGCGGUAGCCUACGUGCUCGUGGUAGAAGCGACCCGCAAUGGAGGAGCUGCAGUGGCCGAUGGCAGCGGACCAGAUCGGCGCAUCACGAGAGCGGACACGGUCACGGGCAGAGCAGAGCCAAGUCGGCGCGGCGACCGGGCGCAAUCUGGAGAACCGGUGGGCGGUGGUGCGCGGUCUGGGCGGGCGCGACGUGCACGAGUUGGCGGCGAGGUGACGGCGUUGACCAGGAUGCCGUCGCAGAUCCUCGUCAUGCCGUCGGGAGAGGAGCUCGUUGAGGAUUCCCGCUUCUCCACGGAUCCACGACGGAGCGAGGUGCUCGAGGAGAAACUUCUUCUCGGGAUGCCAUGGAAAUCGGCAAGUGACUCCAUUUGCCCAUCAGAGAACCAGUGGGUUGAGGCCCUCUUUUAUGCACGACUCCUAUUAAGGCCGGUGUUAUUUUCCGCGAGCCUUCCUCCAUAUGACCUCAGAACAUUUUAACAUAUGCUGAAUAAUGAGGUAUCAUUUUUGGCAGUUCCAAUAUGCAAACUACACGACCGCUGACUAUGCAAAGACCGGAAAAAGGGUCCUUGAGGCUUCAGAUAAUUAAUCAGACGAGUGAUAUCAUUCACACUAUUUUCUGGAGGCCUCUCAAAUCUCACAGUGACAUGGACAAGUGGAUAUAGUACCAAGGAGGCUGCACCGUUUGUUGAAUGGGGCAUACAAGGGCAAAUUCAAAUCCUUUCUCCUGCAAGGCACCCUCAUGUUCAGUCACGACACUAUGUGUGGUGCUAGAACAUGCUUCCAUUUGCCUGACUCGUAUAGCAGAAGCGUUUGCUUCUCCGAAGAAACUGGAUCAAUUGUGCAAUAUGGAUAGGUUGCACAAGCUGCAAGCUUAAUAUGCUUCCAUUUCACUUUUUGUUGCUACUGUAUUAUUUACGCAUAUUUGCUGUUCUGUCAAUAUGUGCAAGUGGGUCUGCAUUGGCAGCUAAAACACCCCUCCUCCAUGGAAUUAGCGGCACACUUAAAGAUAUCCUUUCAGGUUCUGGUUUGGUUGCUGGUACAACUGUAUCCCCCACUAGGUCAGCUGAUCAGGUGUUGCACAUUUCCACCAUUGAUUGAUUUUCAUCAUCAAUCUGCGAAGAACUAAUAGGUGGCACAUCUCUAUACUAGGGUCCCUCGCCGCGCCGUGGAUACGGUGACCUCGUCGGAGCAGUGUGCGGACGAGCCACAAGCCGACGUAGACAGUUGCUCCUGUCACGCACACCGGCUGGUUCUGCUCUAGCGAGCCGCCGGCGUCGUUGCCCAUCUUGAUCUCCCCCUGCGACUCCUUCAAGCGAGGGUGCUGGACGCUGAGGACCGGAGAGGAAUCGGUGGAACUGUCAGUCCGUCCACGAUCUAAAGAUGUACUUCUGCACAUCGUAAAAUAGCUAAGUUGCAGGUUGUUAGGAGUACUGUGCUACAGUUCCACUUAUAUGGAAAGAGACCAGAUUCAUUACCGAAAAA